This 1346-nucleotide ribosomal RNA is filed under the name uncultured bacterium. RNAcentral describes it as "bacterial SSU rRNA". It matches the Rfam family "Bacterial small subunit ribosomal RNA", at positions 28 to 1381 of the family's 1533-position model. The record is from RNAcentral.
GACGAACGCUGGCGGCGUGCUUAACACAUGCAAGUCGAACGGAAAGGCCCUGCUUUUGUGGGGUGCUCGAGUGGCGAACGGGUGAGUAACACGUGAGUAACCUGCCCUUGACUUUGGGAUAACUUCAGGAAACUGGGGCUAAUACCGGAUAGGAGCUCCUGCUGCAUGGUGGGGGUUGGAAAGUUUCGGCGGUUGGGGAUGGACUCGCGGCUUAUCAGCUUGUUGGUGGGGUAGUGGCUUACCAAGGCUUUGACGGGUAGCCGGCCUGAGAGGGUGACCGGCCACAUUGGGACUGAGAUACGGCCCAGACUCCUACGGGAGGCAGCAGUGGGGAAUAUUGCACAAUGGGCGGAAGCCUGAUGCAGCAACGCCGCGUGCGGGAUGACGGCCUUCGGGUUGUAAACCGCUUUCGCCUGUGACGAAGCGUGAGUGACGGUAAUGGGUAAAGAAGCACCGGCUAACUACGUGCCAGCAGCCGCGGUGAUACGUAGGGUGCGAGCGUUGUCCGGAUUUAUUGGGCGUAAAGGGCUCGUAGGUGGUUGAUCGCGUCGGAAGUGUAAUCUUGGGGCUUAACCCUGAGCGUGCUUUCGAUACGGGUUGACUUGAGGAAGGUAGGGGAGAAUGGAAUUCCUGGUGGAGCGGUGGAAUGCGCAGAUAUCAGGAGGAACACCAGUGGCGAAGGCGGUUCUCUGGGCCUUUCCUGACGCUGAGGAGCGAAAGCGUGGGGAGCGAACAGGCCUAGAUACCCUGGUAGUCCACGCUGUAAACGGUGGGUACUAGGUGUGGGGUCCAUUCCACGGGUUCCGUGCCGUAGCUAACGCUUUAAGUACCCCGCCUGGGGAGUACGGCCGCAAGGCUAAAACUCAAAGGAAUUGACGGGGCCCCGCACAAGCGGCGGAGCAUGCGGAUUAAUUCGAUGCAACGCGUAGAACCUUACCUGGGUUUGACAUGGAUCGGGAGCGCUCAGAGAUGGGUGUGCCUCUUUUGGGGUCGGUUCACAGGUGGUGCAUGGCUGUCGUCAGCUCGUGUCGUGAGAUGUUGGGUUAAGUCCCGCAACGAGCGCAACCCUUGUUCACUGUUGCCAGCACGUUAUGGUGGGGACUCAGUGGAGACCGCCGGGGUCAACUCGGAGGAAGGUGGGGAUGACGUCAAGUCAUCAUGCCCCUUAUGUCCAGGGCUUCACGCAUGCUACAAUGGCUGGUACAGAGAGUGGCGAGCCUGUGAGGGUGAGCGAAUCUCGGAAAGCCGGUCUCAGUUCGGAUUGGGGUCUGCAACUCGACCUCAUGAAGUCGGAGUCGCUAGUAAUCGCAGAUCAGCAACGCUGCGGUGAAUACGUUCCCGGGGCU